Molecule: transfer RNA, 71 nt
Filed under: Marmota monax (woodchuck)
Lineage: Eukaryota; Metazoa; Chordata; Mammalia; Rodentia; Sciuridae
Description: tRNA.Ala
Source: RNAcentral
GGAGUUGUGGCUCAGUGGUAGAGCGCUUUCCUAGCUUGUGAGAGGCACUGGGUUUGAUUCUCACCACUAUA